GAGUUUGAUCGUGGCUCAGGACGAACGCUGGCGGCGUGCUUAACACAUGCAAGUCGAGCGGGGACAUGGAACGGAAGGUUUCGGCUGGAAGGUUCAUGUUCUAGCGGCGGACGGGUGAGUAACGCGUGAACAAUCUGUCCCAGACAGGGGGAUAACACUUGGAAACAGGUGCUAAUACCGCAUAAGACCACGAGAUCACAUGAUUUUGAGGUAAAAGGAGCAAUCCGGUCUGGGGUGAGUUCGCGUCCGAUUAGCUAGUUGGCGAGGUAACGGCCCACCAAGGCGACGAUCGGUAGCCGACCUGAGAGGGUGAUCGGCCACAUUGGAACUGAGAAACGGUCCAAACUCUACGGGAGGCAGCAGUGGGAAUAUUGGGCAAUGGGCGAAAGCCUGACCCAGCAACGCCGCGUGAGGGAAGAAGGUUUUCGG
This 429-nucleotide ribosomal RNA is filed under the name uncultured bacterium. Its description in RNAcentral is "bacterial SSU rRNA". It matches the Rfam family "Bacterial small subunit ribosomal RNA", at positions 9 to 421 of the family's 1533-position model. The record is from RNAcentral.